Molecule: ribosomal RNA, 392 nt
Filed under: Cryptosporidium environmental sequence
Lineage: Eukaryota; Apicomplexa; Conoidasida; Eucoccidiorida; Cryptosporidiidae
Description: SSU rRNA
Rfam family: Eukaryotic small subunit ribosomal RNA
Source: RNAcentral
UGUUAAUAAUUUAUAUAUAAUAUUUUAUUAAUAUUUAUAUAGUAUUAACAUAAUUCAUAUUACUAUUUUAUAGUAUAUGAAAUUUUACUUUGAGAAAAUUAGAGUGCUUAAAGCAGGCAUUAGCCUUGAAUACUCCAGCAUGGAAUAAUAUAAAAGAUUUUUAUCUUUUUUAUUGGUUCUAAGAUAAAAAUAAUGAUUAAUAGGGACAGUUGGGGGCAUUUGUAUUUAACAGUCAGAGGCGAAAUUCUUAGAUUUGUUAAAGACAAACUAGUGCGAAAGCAUUUGCCAAGGAUGUUUUCAUUAAUCAAGAACGAAAGCUAGGGGAUCGAAGACGAUCAGAUACCGUCGUAGUCUUAACCAUAAACUAUGCCAACUAGAGAUUGGAGGUUGUU